This 472-nucleotide ribosomal RNA is filed under the name uncultured bacterium. RNAcentral's name for it is "bacterial SSU rRNA". It matches the Rfam family "Bacterial small subunit ribosomal RNA", at positions 335 to 802 of the family's 1533-position model. The record is from RNAcentral.
ACUCCUACGGGAGGCAGCAGUGGGGAAUAUUGCACAAUGGGCGCAAGCCUGACAGCCAUGCCGCGUGUGUGAAGAAGGCCUUCGGGUUGUAAAGCACUUUCAGUCGUGAGGAAGGUAGUGUAGUUAAUAGCUGCAUUAUUUGACGUUAGCGACAGAAGAAGCACCGGCUAACUCCGUGCCAGCAGCCGCGGUAAUACGGAGGGUGCGAGCGUUAAUCGGAAUUACUGGGCGUAAAGCGCAUGCAGGUGGUUUGUUAAGUCAGAUGUGAAAGCCCGGGGCUCAACCUCGGAAUUGCAUUUGAAACUGGCAGACUAGAGUACUGUAGAGGGGGGUAGAAUUUCAGGUGUAGCGGUGAAAUGCGUAGAGAUCUGAAGGAAUACCGGUGGCGAAGGCGGCCCCCUGGACAGAUACUGACACUCAGAUGCGAAAGCGUGGGGAGCAAACAGGAUUAGAUACCCUGGUAGCUACGAGU